CAGAGUUCGUGCCCUCACGGGUAGACCUCCCACCCUUGAAUACUUAUACCUUUGUUGCUUUGGCGGGCCGCCUCGGCUACCGGCUCUGGCUGGUAAGUGCCUGCCAAAGGACCCCAAAACUCUGAAUAUUAGUGUCGUCUGAGUACUAUAUAAUAGUUA
RNAcentral lists this unclassified non-coding RNA (159 nucleotides) under uncultured Leohumicola. RNAcentral describes it as "sequence contains ITS1". The record is from RNAcentral. Lineage: Eukaryota; Fungi; Ascomycota; Leotiomycetes.